UGCAGUCGACGGGAAAGUGGAGCAAUCCAUGAGUACAGUGGCGUACGGGUGAGUAACACGUGGGUAAUCUACCUCUUAGUGGGGAAUAACCCUGGGAAACCGGGGCUAAUACCGCAUAAGCCUGAGAAGGGAAAGCAGCAAUGCGCUGAGAGAGGAGCCCGCGGCCGAUUAGCUAGUUGGUAGGGUAAAGGCCUACCAAGGCAGAGAUCGGUAGCCGGCCUGAGAGGGCACACGGCCACACUGGCACUGAAACACGGGCCAGACUCCUACGGGAGGCAGCAGUGGGGAAUCUUGCACAAUGGGGGCAACCCUGAUGCAGCGACGCCGCGUGAGCGAUGAAGCCCUUCGGGGUGUAAAGCUCUUUCGUCAGGGAAGAUGAUGACGGUACCUGGAGAAGCAGCUGCGGCUAACUACGUGCCAGCAGCCGCGGUAAUACGUAGGCAGCGAGCGUUGUUCGGAGUUACUGGGCGUAAAGGGUGUGUAGGCGGUUCUUUAAGUUUGGUGUGAAAUCUCCCGGCUCAACCGGGAGGGUGCGCCGAAUACUGAGGGACUAGAGUGCGGGAGAGGAAAGUGGAAUUCCUGGUGUACGGUGAAAUGCGUAGAUAUCAGGAGGAACACCGGUGGUGUAGACGGCUUUCUGGACCGUAACUGACGCUGAACACGAAAGCGUGGGUAGCAAACAGGAUUAAUACCCUGGUAUCCACGCCCUAACGAUGCAUAUUUGGUGUGGUCAUUCAGUUGAUCCGUGCCGGAGCUAACGCGUUAAAUAUGCGCCUGGGAGUACAGUC
This 788-nucleotide ribosomal RNA is filed under the name uncultured bacterium. Its description in RNAcentral is "bacterial SSU rRNA". It matches the Rfam family "Bacterial small subunit ribosomal RNA", at positions 56 to 887 of the family's 1533-position model. The record is from RNAcentral.